RNAcentral lists this ribosomal RNA (151 nucleotides) under uncultured Simplicispira sp. Its description in RNAcentral is "partial 16S ribosomal RNA". It matches the Rfam family "Bacterial small subunit ribosomal RNA", at positions 342 to 485 of the family's 1533-position model. Lineage: Bacteria; Pseudomonadati; Pseudomonadota; Betaproteobacteria; Burkholderiales; Comamonadaceae. The record is from RNAcentral.
CGGGAGGCAGCAGUGGGGAAUUUUGGACAAUGGGGGAAACCCUGAUCCAGCCAUGCCGCGUGCAGGAUGAAGGCCUUCGGGUUGUAAACUGCUUUUGUACGGAACGAAAAGGUCUUUUCUAAUAAAGAAGGCUCAUGACGGUACCGUAAGA